RNAcentral lists this ribosomal RNA (440 nucleotides) under uncultured bacterium. RNAcentral's name for it is "partial 16S ribosomal RNA". It matches the Rfam family "Bacterial small subunit ribosomal RNA", at positions 338 to 795 of the family's 1533-position model. The record is from RNAcentral.
CCUACGGGUGGCAGCAGUGGGGAAUAUUGCACAAUGGGGGAAACCCUGAUGCAGCAACGCCGCGUGAGUGAUGAAGGAAUUCGGAUUGUAAAACUCUGUUAUUAGGGAAGAAAAUGACGGUAAGUGAAAAAGCAGGUCCGGCUAAAUACGGGCCAGCAGCCGCGGUAAUACGGCGGGAGCAAGCGUUAUCCGGAAUUACUGGGUGGAAAGGGGGCGCAGGUGGGAGAGCAAGUCCGAUGUGAAAACCAAAGGCUCAACUGUGGGAAUGCAUUAGAAACUGAUCAGCUUGAGUGCAGGAGAGGCAAGUGGAAUUCUUAGUGUAGCGGUGAAAUGCGUAGAGAUUAGGAGGAACACCAGUGGCGAAGGCGGCUUUCUGGUCUGUAACUGACGCUGAGGCUCGAAAGCGUGGGGAGCAAACAGGAUUAGAUACCCGAGUAGUC